GUGCCAGACUCCUACGGGAGGCAGCAGUGGGGAAUAUUGCACAAUGGGGGAAACCCUGAUGCAGCAACGCCGCGUGAGUGAAGAAGUAUUUCGAUAUGUAAAGCUCUAUCAGCAGGGAAGAAGAUGACGGUACCUGAGUAAGAAGCCCCGGCUAACUACGUGCCAGCAGCCGCGGUAAUACGUAGGGGGCAAGCGUUAUCCGGAUUCACUGGGUGUAAAGGGAGCGUAGACGGCCAGGCAAGCCUGGAGUGAAAGCCCGGGGCCCAACCCCGGGACUGCUCUGGGAACUGUCCGGCUGGAGUGCGGGAGGGGCAGGCGGAAUUCCUGGUGUAGCGGUGAAAUGCGUAGAUAUCAGGAGGAACACCGGCGGCGAAGGCGGCCUGCUGGACCGCGACUGACGUUGAGGCUCGAAAGCGUGGGGAGCAAACAGGAUUAGAUACCCGAGUA
This 447-nucleotide ribosomal RNA is filed under the name uncultured bacterium. RNAcentral's name for it is "partial 16S ribosomal RNA". It matches the Rfam family "Bacterial small subunit ribosomal RNA", at positions 328 to 792 of the family's 1533-position model. The record is from RNAcentral.